Molecule: ribosomal RNA, 254 nt
Filed under: uncultured bacterium
Lineage: Bacteria
Description: partial 16S ribosomal RNA
Rfam family: Bacterial small subunit ribosomal RNA
Source: RNAcentral
UACGUAGGGUGCGAGCGUUGUCCGGAAUUACUGGGCGUAAAGAGCUCGUAGGCGGUUUGUCGCGUCGUCCGUGAAAACUUGGGGCUCAACCCCAAGCUUGCGGGCGAUACGGGCAGACUUGAGUACUGCAGGGGAGACUGGAAUUCCUGGUGUAGCGGUGAAAUGCGUAGAUAUCAAGAGGAACACCAGUGGCGAAGGCGAGUCCCUGGACGAUACCUGACACUGAGGCACGAAAGCCGGGGGGAGCAAACAGG